Molecule: unclassified non-coding RNA, 483 nt
Filed under: Hevea brasiliensis (rubber tree)
Lineage: Eukaryota; Viridiplantae; Streptophyta; Magnoliopsida; Malpighiales; Euphorbiaceae
Source: RNAcentral
AUCCUUUUGGAUUUCUCCUCUAACCAUUUCAGAUUCUUCCAAUCUUAUUAUUUUCUGAAAUAUUGUAAUAUUUUUUCGACGACAAUCUUAUGAAUCUGCAUAUCAGAUCGGCCCUUGAGGUAAGGAGGCGCCCCUCUUCUAUUGCCCAGGCUUGGACUUCAUGGAGGGUCUCGGGUGUGACGGGGGUUCGUGAUGUACAUGGGACAUGGUGUCUCUUUGCGUAUGCUGAUGCUCUUUGCGUAUGCUGAUGCUGAUGUAUCUGGGGGAGCGAAAUGCUCGGGUUUUUCGGGGCGCGUCCAACGACCUCGCUCGGCUGCGGGAACUCUGUACUUUCCACCUCGAUGAGUGGAUGAGCCGACUAGGUGAGAAGGACCGGACCAUGGUGGCAGCUCCAAUGCGAAACUUUUUGUGAAUCACGGUGUGGCUUGUGGACUAUUUUUUCCUUCUUCCGUUUUCUUUCUUCUUUUCUUUUUUCAUUCGACA